Pelodiscus sinensis (Chinese soft-shelled turtle) is the source of this 542-nucleotide non-coding RNA. The record is from RefSeq and is a predicted model, not a curated record. NCBI's taxonomy places the organism in Eukaryota, Metazoa, Chordata, Testudines, Trionychidae.
UGAAAUGCAAAGAGGAGAUAUCAUAAGAUAGCCAAAUCUUUGGCCCUCUGAAAAAAAGAACUCCGGAAAAUCAUUUGAAUGUCAGAUCUUUUGAUAUUUCCAAUCUGCUUUCCUGAUUUAGGGCCCUACUUUCUUCAACUUAUUCAGUGGAAUUUCAAAGUACAAAGAAACUGCCGGAUUUGGCCUUAAGGAGGUUCAGGUGUUUAAAACAGACUACAGCAGUUACUUUGAUUUUUUUCAAGGAAUACAGUUUUCAGUCCAGACAGCAUCAAAAAUGCUCUUCUGCAAUAGUCUGCAAAACUGCUGGGAGCAGCAGAAUAUAAUACCGCCCUGCACAAAGCAUCAGAGGUGCCAAGAUCAUGUAUGUACAAUGUGCAUCUACAGAGAAGUUAACUUAUCAAAAGAAUCCCUGGAAAAGCGAAAGUAGAUAGCAAGUGAAAGAUGAGUGGCAAAUUCUACCCAGGGAAAAUAAUUAGAAAUAUGGCUGUCCCUGAAGUAUGCUGUAGAUGACACGGGCACUGUUUCCAUAUGAAGGAUCAUCA